Zootermopsis nevadensis is the source of this 1028-nucleotide non-coding RNA. Lineage: Eukaryota; Metazoa; Arthropoda; Insecta; Blattodea; Termopsidae. The record is from RefSeq and is a predicted model, not a curated record.
UGCUUAUGGACCACCUCCCCCGCCUCCACCACCACCACCGCCGCCUCCAGCACCUGCUUAUGGACCACCUCCCCCGCCUCCACCACCACCACCGCCUCCAGCACCUGCUUAUGGACCACCUCCUCCGCUUCCGGCGCCAGCAUAUGGUCCUCCCGCUCCGAAGAUUUCAACGACUUCCGGUCCGCAGGACGUGGCCCUGAAGGUGGUUCCGACACCCAAAGUCCGCUCCACGUGAUAAUGGUACAUACUGAAGAACACUGUCUCCGGUGCAUCGACAGUAAGACGACGGUCUUGGACAUCCAGUGCAUCAAAGUCUUUGUUUUCUAAACACGAGAAGGGAAUUUUAGUUAUGUUAGACCAUAGGCAUAGCUCGAUUGUUUUCUUACAUUGAGAUAACCGUGACGUUUAUCUAUUUCUCGUUCAUACUUAUCUAAGAUGAUAGAAAGUGCGUAAAUUACAGCAGACUUUUAUAAUUAUAUCAUAACAAGUUAUAAUUAUUUCGGAUAUAACUGCCAUGUACAAUUAUGUGUUAAAUUUUCUGGAUCGUAUAUUAACAACACUUUAAAUACAUUCGUUUAUUUAUGCGCUAGUUUGGAAGGAAAAAAUCUGGAAAAAUACAAACAACUACUGUUAGAAAUCUUGUAAUAAAACUUGUACGAUCGAUGAAGUGGCUCCAGAAACACGUUCUAGAGGAGACUUGCUUGUGAAUUAGGUCAGAAAAGUCGUCAGUCUACAGUAAAGUGAAAGUUUUGUAACAGUUUAAAACUGGGGUAAAUAAAAGUAAGAGCGUUCUAUUUCAUAGCUAUUCAGGGAAUUUCUACGGGUAUAUUAUAAUUUUACGAUCAGAAAUUUGGUUUUAGAUUUAUCUUAUUUCGUAUUUCAUAGGUUUACGGAAAUGCAUACAUAAAUAUCGCUAUGAAUAUGGUUAGUGAAAAACAAUGUAAAUAAAAUAUGUUUUUCAUUCGAGUUGAAGAAUUUUGUAAAUGUUUUAUGUAUCUAGAAAUAAAAGCAUAACAUUUUGUGUGCAA